Molecule: ribosomal RNA, 497 nt
Filed under: uncultured bacterium
Lineage: Bacteria
Description: partial 16S ribosomal RNA
Rfam family: Bacterial small subunit ribosomal RNA
Source: RNAcentral
GAUGAACGCUGGCGGCGUGCCUAAUACAUGCAAGUCGAGCGAACAGACGAGGAGCUUGCUCCUCUGACGUUAGCGGCGGACGGGUGAGUAACACGUGGAUAACCUACCUAUAAGACUGGGAUAACUUCGGGAAACCGGAGCUAAUACCGGAUAAUAUAUUGAACCGCAUGGUUCAAUAGUGAAAGACGGUUUUGCUGUCACUUAUAGACGGAUCCGCGCCGCAUUAGCUAGUUGGUAAGGUAACGGCUUACCAAGGCGACGAUGCGUAGCCGACCUGAGAGGGUGAUCGGCCACACUGGAACUGAGACACGGUCCAGACUCCUACGGGAGGCAGCAGUAGGGAAUCUUCCGCAAUGGGCGAAAGCCUGACGGAGCAACGCCGCGUGAGUGAUGAAGGUCUUCGGAUCGUAAAACUCUGUUAUUAGGGAAGAACAAAUGUGUAAGUAACUAUGCACGUCUUGACGGUACCUAAUCAGAAAGCCACGGCUAACUACGUG